AAACAUUCGGGACUGGCUAUGUAAUUUUAGAUAAUGGUAAAGAGUGAUAUACAAUUAAUUUUAUAAAGUAUGAAUAAAUGGCAAAGCUGAAGAGUUUGAGUCCAUGUGUUCUGCUCUGGUUACCUCUCCUUUUGUGCCUGUGGUCAUUGGCUGGGUGUGUGAGCGACCCCGGGGAUCCAAGAUACCUCCUCUACUCUGUGAAUCCUGGUGAGGGGUUCAAUCUGAGGAGAGAUGUUCACAUGAGGGCAGCGACUCUGCUCAAGGAGCUCCAAGGGUCUGGGAUAGACUGGGUCCUCGUUCUUCCUCCGUGGCCACACCUCCUUCACUGGCGGUCAAAAGCCGGGCAAAGCGGAGUCAAGUGGGAUAAGUUUUUCGAUGUGUCCAGUUUGAGUGAGUACGUGCCCUCUAUUGAGUACGAGGAGUAUCUGCAGAGAGAGGGGCACUCUAUCAAUAAGGUUAUCCAUUUGCAAGGUUUUGCCGAGGGUUGGGGUGAGGGUGGCUUCAGGGAGAUGAGUGAGGAGCGUCCCUGCAUUGAUACCCCCCACUACCGACAGACCACCAAGGGAGACUGGAAAGGGAAUGUGUUCGGUACACAGGUUACUAUGACAACCUUUAGCUGUGUCAGUGUGCUGGGGUUCACUAGGACACUGCUGCCACUACUGCAACACCAGGUAGCAACUGUGAGGUCAGUGAUGUUGGAGAGAAUGGAGACAGUGAUGCACUCUGAGUUUGGAGGAUCAGAAUACUGGGCUGCUCGCUCCAGUAUGGUGUACGCCCAGCGCCUAAGAGAGAAGGGUAACCAGUUCAUGAGAACGCAACUGAACUAUGACCCCGGCCUAGGGAAUGGACGUGUGUCCCCUAAGGAUGGUGGUGGAGGGUACUUGUCUGUGCAUCUCAGGAGAGGAGACUAUAUCUAUGCACGACCAGACAAAGUGCCUUCACUGGAGGAUGCAGCCAGACAGAUCAACAAACUCAAGAAUGAGCAAAAUCUGGAACGCGUCUUUCUCUCCUCUGAUGCUACUCCAGAAGAAAAAGAGCUGCUGGGAGGUCUCGUGAGAAACCUGGUGUGGUAUCAGCCAUCCCACAGUGAGCUGCGGAAGUUUGGAGAUGGGGGAGUGGCCAUUAUUGACCAGUGGAUUGCUGCACGUGCCACAUAUUUUGUUGUGACACUAAAAUGUACCGGCCCUUGACUGCCGGAUUUCUUGGGUUAGCAAUCCUACAAGAAAAUUAAGUCCACGAAAAUUGUUUUUUAAUUUUGUCAUGCAAAGAUUUAUAAGCGUGGCAUUCCGUGAAAAAUUGUGCAACGAAAUGCUUUUAGAGGCCAAUCCACGAAAUAUAAGUGCCUUAAAAAUUUCGCGCUAUACAGUACGUCUGAAUCAACCUUCUCAUUUCGUAUUCGGGAGGAUCGUCAGUUGAUGGGCUUCUCCACUGAGAGCACAUUUAACCAGUUCUGUGGAAGUCAUGAUCCCCACUGUGAUAGACCCACUGUGUGGGCCAUACAUCCGUC
Molecule: RNA transcript, 1507 nt
Organism: Halichondria panicea
Lineage: Eukaryota; Metazoa; Porifera; Demospongiae; Suberitida; Halichondriidae
Gene name: GDP-fucose protein O-fucosyltransferase 2-like
Exons: 8
Source: RefSeq, a predicted model, not a curated record